GACUUUUGUUUUAAGUUCUUGUUCAUUUUGCUUUUAUUUUAUUUUACUCUUAUUUCAUAUUUAUAUACAUAUGCGACAAAGGAAAAGAAAGAAAAAGACUCACCGGAGUCGUUUGGCCUUCUCGUUGUCGGAAGAGCUCCUCCCCGAUGUUACAACCGUUCUAAGGAGAGGACAAAGUUUUUUUUAAAACAUUUUUGGGCUAGAAGGGCUUGAUCCUUAAAUCCAUCUGAAAAGGGGUAAAAAAUGGGCCUUUUCGCAUUCUCCGGCCACCGUGGAUGGCGGCGCCGUCGCCGGCGACCGACGGCCGCUACGGUGGUCUG
RNAcentral lists this long non-coding RNA (320 nucleotides) under Gossypium barbadense (sea-island cotton). Its description in RNAcentral is "long non-coding RNA (GBAR_LNC006861)". The record is from RNAcentral. Lineage: Eukaryota; Viridiplantae; Streptophyta; Magnoliopsida; Malvales; Malvaceae.